RNAcentral lists this ribosomal RNA (449 nucleotides) under uncultured bacterium. RNAcentral's name for it is "partial 16S ribosomal RNA". It matches the Rfam family "Bacterial small subunit ribosomal RNA", at positions 29 to 523 of the family's 1533-position model. The record is from RNAcentral.
AACGAACGCUGGCGGCAUGCCUAACACAUGCAAGUCGAACGAACCCUUCGGGGUUAGUGGCGCACGGGUGCGUAACGCGUGGGAAUCUGCCCUUUGCUUCGGAAUAACAGUUAGAAAUGACUGCUAAUACCGGAUGAUGUCUUCGGACCAAAGAUUUAUCGGCAAGGGAUGAGCCCGCGUAGGAUUAGGUAGUUGGUGGGGUAAAGGCCUACCAAGCCGACGAUCCUUAGCUGGUCUGAGAGGAUGAUCAGCCACACUGGGACUGAGACACGGCCCAGGCUCCUACGGGAGGCAGCAGUGGGGAAUAUUGGACAAUGGGCGCAAGCCUGAUCCAGCAAUGCCGCGUGAGUGAUGAAGGCCUUCGGGUCGUAAAGCUCUUUUACCAGGGAUGAUAAUGACAGUACCUGGAGAAUAAGCUCCGGCUAACUCCGUGCCAGCAGCCGCAGUAA